This 89-nucleotide microRNA precursor is filed under the name Bombyx mori (domestic silkworm). RNAcentral's name for it is "microRNA bmo-mir-2724 precursor". The record is from miRBase by way of RNAcentral. Lineage: Eukaryota; Metazoa; Arthropoda; Insecta; Lepidoptera; Bombycidae.
CCGAGCAUCCCCCGGUGUGAUAGCUCCCUGCCGGAUAUCUGCUUCACACAGUGUGCAGUCAGGCGGGAGCUCCGACUCCUGGACGUUCA